GGUCAAAGUCAUCUAAUUUUGACGGUGAACUUUGGAUGACUGUUGGCAAAAACAAGAUUGCAGUUCUCUGUGCCUCUUAAAACUCUUUUGUUUGGAUAGGCUUUGAGUAAGCUGUGACAUU
Non-coding RNA from Musa acuminata subsp. malaccensis (wild Malaysian banana), 121 nucleotides. Lineage: Eukaryota; Viridiplantae; Streptophyta; Magnoliopsida; Zingiberales; Musaceae. The record is from Rfam.